GCGGGCGUGGUUUAGUGGUAAAACCUCAGCCUUCCAAGCUGAUGAUGUGGGUUCGAUUCCCACCGCCCGCU
This 71-nucleotide transfer RNA is filed under the name Cyanobacteria bacterium WB6_1B_304. RNAcentral describes it as "tRNA-Gly". It matches the Rfam family "tRNA". From Rfam's summary of the family: Transfer RNA (tRNA) molecules are approximately 80 nucleotides in length. Their secondary structure includes four short double-helical elements and three loops (D, anti-codon, and T loops). RNAcentral also lists the same sequence under 3 other names. Lineage: Bacteria; Bacillati; Cyanobacteriota. The record is from RNAcentral.